This 869-nucleotide ribosomal RNA is filed under the name Agaricus yanzhiensis. RNAcentral's name for it is "eukaryotic LSU rRNA". It matches the Rfam family "Eukaryotic large subunit ribosomal RNA", at positions 80 to 935 of the family's 3401-position model. The record is from RNAcentral. Lineage: Eukaryota; Fungi; Basidiomycota; Agaricomycetes; Agaricales; Agaricaceae.
CUAGUAACUGCGAGUGAAGCGGGAAAAGCUCAAAUUUAAAAUCUGGCAGUCUCUGGCUGUCCGAGUUGUAAUCUAGAGAAGUAAUGCCCGUGCUGGACCGUGUAUAAGUCUCCUGGGAUGGGGCGUCAUAGAGGGUGAGAAUCCCGUCUUUGACACGGACUACCAGUGCAUUGUGGUAUGCUCUCAAAGAGUCGAGUUGUUUGGGAAUGCAGCUCAAAAUGGGUGGUAAAUUCCAUCUAAAGCUAAAUAUUGGCGAGAGACCGAUAGCGAACAAGUACCGUGAGGGAAAGAUGAAAAGAACUUUGGAAAGAGAGUUAAACAGUACGUGAAAUUGCUGAAAGGGAAACGCUUGAAGUCAGUCGCGUUGGCCGGGAAUCAGCCUUGCUUUUGCAUGGUGUACUUUCUGGUUGACGGGUCAGCAUCAAUUUUGACCGCUGGAAAAAGGCCUGGGGAAUGUGGCAGCUUCGGCUGUGUUAUAGCCCCUAGUCACAUACAGUGGUUGGGAUUGAGGAACUCAGCACGCCGCAAGGCCGGGUUUCGACCACGUUCGUGCUUAGGAUGCUGGCAUAAUGGCUUUAAGCGACCCGUCUUGAAACACGGACCAAGGAGUCUAACAUGCCUGCGAGUAUUUGGGUGGAAAACUCAAGUGCGUAAUGAAAGUGAAAGUUGAGAUCCCUGUCGUGGGGAGCAUCGACGCCCGGACCAGAACUUUUGGGACGGAUCCGCGGUGGAGCAUGUAUGUUGGGACCCGAAAGAUGGUGAACUAUGCCUGAAUAGGGUGAAGCCAGAGGAAACUCUGGUGGAGGCUCGUAGCGAUUCUGACGUGCAAAUCGAUCGUCAAAUUUGGGUAUAGGGGGCGAAAGACUAAU